CUCUUGUUACUGCGUCUUACCAGAAUUCAUUUUUUUCUUUGCAGGCUGGAGAUAUAAAGACUAAUUAUGUUCAUGGAGAUGGUGUCAGCAGUGAUAUAUGUCUGAAUCCCACCAGCUCAAUCCUGAUGGCUAAGAGCUCUUCAUCUCCCUCCCUUGAGGACAAUGACCAAUAUAUAUAUGUUCCAAAUGCAGGAAACCAAAGGCUGAUGAAAAAUGAAGAAAAUGCAGUUUUAGGACAUACUGUUUCAACUUCUGAUCCACGUGGAGCAGAUUCAUACCUUCCAUUAAAGACCCAGGGGUUUAUUAAGGAUCGGGGCCAACUUUAUGCUGACAUGAAAAGAAGAAGCACAAGUCUCAGUGAUCUUGAAGUAGAUGGCAGAAGUGGAGGUGUUUUGGACAGACCCUGUGUUCACUACCCUCCCCUUGCCUCUUCAGAGGCCAUGGAUUGUAGUGGAGAUGGAUUAGACUCACCUACCAGUCUGCAGCCCAAGGAAUCCGCAGUGUCUGGGGUUCGGUCACGCUCCUAUUCCUACUCCUCGCCCAAAGGUUUAUUAGGAAGACCUUGCAUUCCUCAGGACUUUGCAGCUGGGGAUUCGAAUGAAGAUUAGGUGAGAAGUCUUUGGCAAAACAAGGCAGAAGAAAAAGAGGGAGGUAUGUCGCAGAAGCAGAGGAUGGCAGAUCAGCAAAGCUGUGUGUGUGCUUAAAGUUAAAACAGAAUUCUUUUGACCUUGCAGCUAAGGGACUGUUGGUGUCACAGCCCAUUAAGCUUCAUCCAGAUGCCAUUACCUGCUCUGGCCUGAUCUGGGUUCAGGCCCAUGUCCUGUUCAUUCUCUCUCCCCUUCCUCCUGGGUGCUGG
Molecule: long non-coding RNA, 856 nt
Filed under: Athene cunicularia (burrowing owl)
Lineage: Eukaryota; Metazoa; Chordata; Aves; Strigiformes; Strigidae
Description: lncRNA (ENSACUG00000012985.1)
Source: RNAcentral